GGUGGUAACAAGUUCGUUCUCUCUCUGUCUUCGUUGUAUUGCAUUUUUAUUAAUUGCAACUUUUUUCAGGGAAAUUAGGAGUUCAUAUUUUUGGGUUUUGAAGAAUAUCUGAUCUUGUGAUGAUGGUGAAUUGACGUAUGGCUCAUUGAGAAUUCCUGUCAUGCUUUUUAAUUUUGUGGAUGCUGGUGUUUGCAAUCAUAUUAUUCGCUUUGAAAUGAUGUUGAUUGCCAAGCAUGUUAGUUUGCGUGUGGUCAUUUAUUAUCUUCCCUUUGCAUGA
Molecule: unclassified non-coding RNA, 277 nt
Filed under: Hevea brasiliensis (rubber tree)
Lineage: Eukaryota; Viridiplantae; Streptophyta; Magnoliopsida; Malpighiales; Euphorbiaceae
Source: RNAcentral